RNAcentral lists this long non-coding RNA (1117 nucleotides) under Anser cygnoides (Swan goose). RNAcentral's name for it is "lncRNA (ENSACDG00005016097.1)". The record is from RNAcentral. Lineage: Eukaryota; Metazoa; Chordata; Aves; Anseriformes; Anatidae.
GUGGAGGGGAAGGUUACCAGGCAGGACCCGGCCAGGACAGAGACUGUCCUGGUUUCAGCUAGGAUAGAGUUAAUUUUCCUCCUAGUAACUGGUAGGGUGCUGUGUUUGGGAUUUAGGAUGAGAAGAAUGUUGAUAACACCAUGAUGUUUUAAUUGUUGCAGAGCAGUGCUUACACCAGGCCAAGGACUUUUCAGCUUCUCGCUCUGUCCUGCCAGCGAGCAGGCUGGGGGUGCAGCAGGAGCUGGGAGGGGACAGACCCAGGACAGCUGACCCAAACUGGCCAAAGGGGUAUUCCAUACCAUCUGACGUCAUGCUAAACAAUAUAUAGGGGUGGCUGGCCGGGGUGGGGGGCCGGCUGCUCGGGGAUAGGCUGGGCAUCGGUCAGCAGGUGGUGAGCAAUUGCAUUGUGCAUCGCUUGUUUCGUACACAUCAGUAGUAGUAGUACUGUUAUCAUUAUUAUUAUUAUUAUCCUUUCUUUCCUCUCCUAAUAAACUGUCUCUAUCUCAACCCACAGGCUUCAUUUUCCUGUUUCUCUCCCCCAUCCCAGAGAGGGAGGGGGGAGGGUGAGCGAACGGCUGUGUGGUGUUUAGCUGCCGGCCGGGUUAAACCACAACAGAGACCUGGUCAGGUUGCCUAAGGCGGCUGCGUGCCCCACUGCCUCCUGGGAGAAGGAUUCACCCUGCUCACCGGAGGCUGGGAUACCCUGCCACCACUCUGCUCCCCUGCGGCACUCAUCUCCAGUCCCUCCUGGCAGCGCCUCCAAGGACACCGACAUACUGGCAGCAAGAUGUGAGCAGGGAUCUGGUAAGGCACUCACCCAGGCCUGGUGCAGCACACGGCCGAGACAGAUCCUGCCCUGUCUCCACCACUCUGUUGCCCAAGCCCUCAGGCUCCCCCAGAUCCCAGGGGUACCCGGCAUGGACUGCCAGACCUUUGGGCUCCCCGAAUGCCCAGCCCUGGGUCAGCACCUGCCUUCUGCUUCCCACUCUGACUUCACCGCCCUCUGACUCACCCCCUCCUCCUGCCUGACUCACCCAUUUUACCAUGGCCGGCCACGGGUGUCAGGGCAACGCCACAAACUCCGUGAGGCAGCAGACAAGGCAGGAGAACCAGUGCC